RNAcentral lists this unclassified non-coding RNA (352 nucleotides) under soil metagenome. Its description in RNAcentral is "partial contains 5.8S ribosomal RNA, internal transcribed spacer 2, and large subunit ribosomal RNA". The stretch from base 1 to 120 matches the Rfam family "5.8S ribosomal RNA", at positions 35 to 154 of the family's 154-position model. The record is from RNAcentral.
GAUGAAGAACGCAGUGAAAUGCGAUAAGUAAUGUGAAUUGCAGAAUUCAGUGAAUCAUCGAAUCUUUGAACGCACAUUGCGCCCGCCAGUAUUCUGGCGGGCAUGUCUGUUCGAGCGUCAUUUCAACCCUCAGGCCCCCAGUGCCUGGUGUUGGGGAUCGGCCCAGCCUUCCUGUAAGGCCGCCGGCCCCGAAAUCUAGUGGCGGUCUCGCUGUAGUCCUCCUCUGCGUAGUAGCACAACCUCGCAGUUGGAACGCGGCGGUGGCCAUGCCGUUAAACACCCCACUUCUGAAAGUUGACCUCGGAUCAGGUAGGAAUACCCGCUGAACUUAAGCAUAUCAAUAAGCGGAGGA